ACCUGCCCAGUGAAAUAAUUUUUAAACGGCCGCGGUAUCCCAACCGUGCAAAGGUAGCGCAAUCACUUGUCUCCUAAAUAGAGACUAGUAUGAACGGUUUAAUGAGGACUAAUCUGUCUCCUGCAGAAAAUCCGUAAAACUGAACUUCCAGUUCAAAUGCUGGACUAAUCCUAUAAGACGAGAAGACCCUGUGGAGCUUUUAAACAAAAAACACCAUAACCACUGUAAAAAGUUUUUAGUUGGGGCGACUCUGGAGACAAAAACAACCCCCAGGCACAGAACCAUUAUAUUCUUACAUGGCCAACAAGCCAAAACAUCUUAGACCCGGUCCUACCGACAAACGAACCAAGUUACCCCAGGGAUAACAGCGCUAUCUUCUUUUAGAGUCCCUAUCAACAAGAAGGUUUACGACCUCGAUGUUGGAUCAGGACACCCAAAUGGUGCAGCCGCUAUUAACGGUUCGUUUGUUCAACGAUUAACAGUCCUACGUGAUCUGAGU
This 499-nucleotide ribosomal RNA is filed under the name Gerrhosaurus nigrolineatus (black-lined plated lizard). RNAcentral describes it as "partial 16S ribosomal RNA". It matches the Rfam family "Bacterial large subunit ribosomal RNA", at positions 1857 to 2610 of the family's 2925-position model. The record is from RNAcentral. Lineage: Eukaryota; Metazoa; Chordata; Lepidosauria; Squamata; Gerrhosauridae.